CCGCUUCCCGUCGUCCGCCGCCCUUGAUUGCCGUCGCGUCCUCGAUCUCAUCGGGCUCCGCCUGCAGAUCGACGCCAAGGCCAGGGCUGCCGCGGAGCGCCCGUCCGGAGCCAGGGCUGCAGCAGCUCGGCGCCAAGGCCACCGCCGACGCCGAGGUGCUCUUCCAGCGCCGGCGCCGACACUCCAUCUCUUGAUUUAACCAUCAUUAGACCACCGCCCGCUGAAUUGCAUCAGUGUUUCCCUUUCUUUUUUUUGUGUAUUCUGUCGACCUGCAGACUGAUAUCGUGCAGUUCAUGUAUUCUGUCGACCUGCAGAUAUUUGAAUCAAGACAAACAAAAUUGCGAAUAUAUUAAGCUGUCUAUAUGUUGUUUAUUUGCUAUUUGAUUGGGCUCAUCGAUGCUGAUCUGCGGUUGCCUGCAGGGAACUUUAGUUGAUGAUAUCCUACUCCGUGCGUUUGUACUGAACAUAUGCCUUUUGUGUGUAUGAGGCCCUUACAUUAUAGAAAGUUGAGACCAAAAUGUGUCUAUAUGCCUGUAUAACUCAAUACACAGUAGCUUUGGAGGCACCUCGCUCUCUGUCAAGUCUCUGAAAGCCAAAAAAGUUUCUUUCUAAGUACCAUAGUGUUGGUGUGAAGUCAGAAUCCUUCAUUUUCCCUCUACAGAUUUCUUCCAGAUUCAGCUUAUGGCUGGUUCUAAUUAAAAGCAGAUCGCGGAAAUGGUUCUAUUUGCAGUUUGCAACUGAUCAAACUAACAUGUUUCAGACUUUCAGUACACAUUCACUACAAAUUCAGAACACAACACAACAGCUCAACCAAGUGCAUCCAAUCGGAAACUGGAAAAAUUUCAGAUAAGGGGAAACCAAACAUGUACUGUAACAGAUUCAGAUAAGGGGAAGCCAAACAAAAUAAGACCCAUCCAAUCAGAAACUGGAAAUAUUCCAAGCGUUCUUUUUUACUGGAGGUAAUCUCUCUGGACAAAAGAUUUUCACCUCGAAGCAGCACCCUGUUGUAUGUACAGGUUCAGUGCAACGAUGCAGACUUGUUAGCAUUUAGCAGCAGCAAGGAUUCAGGAUCUUGACGAAGUCCAUUGGUUGAUUCAUUCAUGACAAAAGAACUGAUACAAUUCCAGAGUAAUAUUCAUGGAGACAAAAGAGCAUGCUUGCUUUCAUAAGGUCCCUUAACAGAAAAAUAGCACUUAACAGUAAGAGAGCACAGUUACAUAGAUUCAUGAUUUUGCACUCCAUCAAAAUGUAACUUCCUAACAACAGUUUGCGCUGUAGCAUCUUGAUCAACUCCCAUUAAAAGACUAGUGUAUCCUCCUGGUUUGUAUGGAACAGCCAUUGCAUAAGUAUUUGCAAAAAAAUUGAAGUGUGGCAUCGUGGAAUUAGCAUAUCCACCUUGAACAAAAGGAGCAUCCAUGGCUGAAGAUGCCCCAACAUUGAGCUGUUGUGUGAUAGCACAAGAAAGUGUUCAUAAAUUAUGCUUGUAAUGGAAUAAAUUGUGAAAAUAGCUAAUGCCUUACAAUUAUUUGGUUUGGCUCAGCACGUUCAUCUCUUGUUUCUAGAUCAUUGUGUGUCAGACCUUCACCUACAAUGCAAUAUAUAUGAUAACAAAAUAUUUAAAAUCAAUUUUACACACAUAAGCAAAAGGUAUUGAGCAGGUCAGUACCUUUCUUCUGGGCACCCUUCCUCUUCUUGUUCCCAGUGUUCUUUUCAACAACAUUUUUAAUACGUGUCUUCUUUGGACCUUACUUGAGAAAUUUUGAAUGAUAUUACACCAUUUAAUGGUUCUCGAACACAUUCAUUUGGAAUAGGAGGAAUCUCAUUGGAUUUUUCAUGCAUCUCACUUAGAUAAGUAUCCGCUUCCAAGUUCAAGUCAUGCAUGGCUUUCUGCAAUUUAUCAAGAAGUUGUUUUGACGAUGAACAGUUCAAUGCAAGAGAUGUGGCCUGUCAAGAUAUAAGUGCUGCCUGUGUUUUCAGAUCUGCCUCCUCAGUUCCUGGUUUGUGAAUAUAAAAUCCACUUUUAGCAUACUUUGUCCAUCUAGGCAGUAUAUAUUGUGAUGGCAAAUUGUAUACUCCAUUCCUAUUAUAGACUCUAAGAGCAUGUUUGCACAAUAAACCUGUAAGAUAUAGUUGUCAAUUUAAACAACCUAUAUUACAGGAUACAAAAUACCAUUGAAACAACUUGUAAGAUAAAAGUAAACAUACCUAUGCAUUCAAACAUCCGGCAAGAGCAUGUAAUGGUCGAAUCUUCGGUAUUCAAUACUACUAUUGCUCCACGAUCAGAUUGCAUAUACUUAACAAAGAAUGUCGAGUUUGUCCCCGCAGCUUCCAAUAAAUCACAAGAUAAUGUAAACUGUUUUUAAAAUUCUUCCUCAAACUCCGAAUACAUUCUCCUUGUAUAUGAUUCAGCUGCAGUUUUCAACAUAGGUAGAUUUGGAAUGUAGGAAACUGGGGUCUUUCGACGUGACUUAAAAUCAGCAUCCAACUCAUUUGACCUUAGACUAACUGCAACGUUCUCACAUUCUACAAGGAGUUCUGAAAGACCGAGUUUCCUACGAAAUCUUUUCUUGAAGACAUUAUUCAUACCUUCGCUCCUUUGGGUCGAGUUCAUGUCUGCUGUAAAAGAGUCACGGUAUACCACAGCCCACUUUGCCCUCAAAGCAUAUAGGUUUGACAUCCAUGAGUUAUUCUCAAGGUUGUAUUUAGCCAACAAAUCAUGCCAUUUCUGUGUGAAGUAAAUCUCUUCCCUGUCUUCGUAGAUACAUCUUUUGAAAUCUGCCCAGAACUUGUUAUCUGACUCGUUAUCUGACUCGUUAUCUGACUCGUUCUCUGACUUGUCCUCCGACGCAUGAAUUACAUGACCAAGAUGUUUAGCAGCAUUUAAGCCAAUAUGCCACAAACAAAGGCGGUGGGCUGUAUUUGGGAAUACAUAAGCAAUUGCUGCUGCCAUCGCCGCGUCUUGAUCUGUGAAAAUUGUGCUUGGGUGCUUUCCAGACAUUGCUGUUAGAAAGGUCUCGAAGAGCCAAACAAAUGAUUCAAUAGUCUCAUUGAAUAUAAAUGCACACCCAAAAAUUAUUGUUUGCUUCUGAUGGUUGGUGCCAAGAAUUGGAGCAAAAGGCAUUUCAAACUUGUUAGUUUGAAAUGUGGUGUCGAAGGACACAGCAUCACCAAAGCAUUUGUAAUCCAUGAUAGACUGACCAUCUGUCCAAAAGAAAUUUGCUAUACGACCAUCUUCCUUGUCCACCUGAACCGCAUAAAAAAAUGUAGGAUCUUGUAACUGUUUAUUUCUCAGAUAUUCAGAUAAUGUUUGUGCAUCAUUGGCUUCUAAGUAUUGUCUGCGUUCACGACCUAUCUCAUUAUAGCAAUCCAUCUUAGAAAAUGGUAUUUUGUCUUCCCCUCCGUAAUGCUCCUUCAUGAAAUCAAAAACUUGGGUUGGCUUCAUUCCAGCCCGCCGUAUCUGCCCAAUUAAUUUUCUAUCUGCCUCUAUAACCUCUCGUUGGGACCUCAGCUUAUGUGACUUAUUUGGACUAGCAAGAUAAUGGUUGUGAUCUAAUACGACCUUUUGCACUGUCCAAACCCUCUCUUUGCUGAUACUAAAUUGAACACGAGCAUGACAACCGGUCCUUGUAAUAUCCUUUUGUGAUGACUCAUUUUCUCGAUAUCCUUGGCUACUACAAACCAGAUGUUUUUGACAUAAACUACCAUCUGAGCGGUGCUUCGUCUUGCUCUUUCUAACACUGAACCCAACCUGUCCAUCAUAGGUGUUGUACAUCUCAUAAGCCUUUUCCUCAGAUUCAAAAGUCAUUCCAAUUUUAGGUGUGAUCAAAUUUUGUCCAGAUUUAUCAACCACCUCCGGUACAUAUGAAUUGUCAACUAAAGGUGUACUAUAACAAAUAUAUAUAUAUAUAUAUAUAUAUAUAUAUAUAUAUAUAUAUAUAUAUAUAUAUAUAUUCUGUCAAGUUUGUUACUUAUAUUUUUUUUACCUCAUUAGGUACUUCAUUCUCCACUGAUCAUACAUGUUUUAUUUGUUGUUCCUCUUCUCCACGAUCGCCACCAACAGCAUCAUUCAAAGGUGGAGCAUGUAAUCUACAUCAGAAAGCGAUUGGUGACUAACCGGCCGGACGGACCUUGACAUGGCGAUGAUCAUGAUCAAGCGAGGAGCAGCAGCCGCAGUUACCUGAGGACCGACAGCGACGGAGCAGCGUGCGUGCGAUCCAGCAGUAGGCGUUCCACUGACGUCGCCAUGUAGGUCUUCGCCGCGCCGCCUUCGAUGUGAACUGCUGCUCGUUCACCUCCACCGACGUUGUCGUGGCCAUCGCGCGCCCUUCCUCCAUGGCCGGCGAUAGGAACUGGGAGAUGAGUUGACGGGAAGUGAUCGGGCCGGGAGAGGCGGGCGCUACGAAGGAAAAGACGCGGGAGGCGGAGCCGAUCCAAUCUGUGCUGUGCUCGAUCAACGGAAUUUCUCGAUCGAUGAGGUGAAAAUCUUUGGGUGAUCCGAUCUGUGCAGCGCCCGAUCAUGAAGCUCGAUCGACAGGGCAAACGAUCAAUGGGGCAGCGGACACGGGCGAGCCGACGGAGGAGAUCGCGAGCCGACGCGGGCGAUGGACGAGCCGCGAGGGAAAUCCCUUCAGAAACGAGCCAUCGCGCGCGGGAGCGUCCGAUGAGAAGCCUGCGGCAUCGGGGGCGUGGAGCGCCAGGCGCCCACCCAAGUUUUUGCCAUAUUAUCAAAACAAUAGACCUGGGCAUGGGCGACCAACCCCAAAGCCUGGUGUCUGGGAUCAAGACCAGGCCUCGGUUUCUCACCCAAAGUCCAGCCCGAAAAAGCCCAAAACGGAUUUAAAAUGAGAAUUUUCUGAAGAAUUGGGUAUAAAAUCAUUGUUUCUGAAACCUGGCCCUGCCCGGGGUAUACCUAGGUCUAAUUUCUAUUUUAAUAAAACUGUAGGAAAGAUCCUAAUAGUAAAGAUUUUAAACUUAGCUCGUAAUUGCGUCCAUCAUUUUAUCCUCAGGGCACUUAUCAACAGACGUUCAACAAAUAGGAUCGUCUACUCAUGGUUAUUGUUUUGUUUUUUUGGUUUUUGAGAUGGUUUCUUCUACAUCACAGCAUUCUGCCAUGCACGAACUCAACGCAUCUCCUUAUUUUGUGAUGCUUUUUUACAGUGCGCAAAUAAAAAAAAUUACAACCGGCACUCGCAACAAAAAGUGUGCAAACACUAGAGCCAAAGCCUUUUUUCAAGAUCAGGCCCAGAAUCUCUUCGUUGUAUACUACUUUCGUAAAAGCCCAUUGGGCUUAGCCUUCUAUUCUACCAUUACCUCUUCACUUGAUGGCAGACACGGGCCAAAACAACUUCGUAUUAUUCACUGGCUGAAAUGCCCGUGCGUUGCAACGGAACAAUAAAAUAAAAUAUACAUUAAAAAAUAUACAUCAAAAUCUCUCUUUGUUCUUCUUUAACGAUCACCAAAUAUCCAUUUAAAUUUAUUUUUUUUCGAAGAUUGUGUCUCUAUACUCUAGUCUCUCAAAAUAAAACAAUACAUUUUUUUUCUGAAAAUUAUAUAACAUCACCUAGUCAAAAAAGUUUUGAGACGGAAUCACUUAAUUUUUUUAGUUCUCUCAACUAUCUCACUUCACCCGUUAAAACAAAGAGUUAGAAGGGGCAACAAAUUUAUGUUUUGCCAGCUUGAUGUUCUCUCUACUAUGCCCUAGGUGCUACCACCAUUCUCUCUCGCAGUCUGUCUCAUUAGUUUCUUCUAACAAUUCGCCGCCACCUUGUGUAAUUUAGCCCUAGGAGGAAACGGACGUGGCUGGGAGACGAAAGAGGGGACCAUCCGUGGCCGCGCCUAGGAGACAGGGGGGACGGCCGUGGCUUCGGUUCCUUGCCUGAUGGGUUCCCGAUCGGGUCUCAUCUUUUUCUCGUCAGAUUCGGAGUUGUUGCCUGACUCUCGUAAUGAUCCCGCUGGUGAUGAAUUCCCUCGCAGAGUUCCAGUACAAUUCGAUGCAGAUAAUGGGCCAGCCGGUUUAGUAGUUCCAAUCCAAUUUGGUGUAGGUAACGGGCCAGCUGGCUUAGUAGACCUAAUAUAGGUGCAACCUCCAUGUAGACCUAAUAUAGGUGCAAUCUUGGAGGGCUCACAAUUUUUUUGGAAAGUUUGACAGUGAAAAAAGUCCGUAUUUUUUAGAUAAAUAUAAAUAAAAUACUUUUUAGCUCUCUAAAAAAAUAUAAACUUUUACCGUGACCAUUUCACAUUUUUACCACUACACGGCUGCACGACAGAGCAAGUCAAAUACCGAGACAUAGGGCAUUGCUCCUCAUCGGGCACGGGAAACCCUCCGACAAGUAGGCCCCAGAUGGCAGCCUUUUAGCAACGAACAAAUGCAGCAUUGCAGCCCCUGUGUAACGCUCCAGGUCCAACCGGAUGACAGGUGGGACCCCUACAGAGGACGAACGUCUCACGUGACCUCCCAGCUGCAGCAUCAGACAAACUGUUCAUUCAUCUUUGACAUUUUGCUGACACCGUUGCUUGUUGUUGUUGGGUCUCCAGGGUCCAGGCCCUUGCUGGCUAUUGCAAGGCUUUGCUCAAAACAAAAUCAGCAGGGUUUCUCAUAAAAUGGAAUGAGCAGCAUUAAUUAACAACUUUGAUGAACUGCAGCUGAGCAACUGAACAUCGUAGGAUCCUUCCAACAAAGAGAAAAAAAAAUAGUGUGCAGAAGAACGAAUCCAUCAUUCACAGAAUUGUAUCGCCAGAUUGGUCGAAAUUUGAUCGGAGUUCUAGGUGCUAGCAAUACUCUUCAUCCCUGCAUGCCUAGCAUAGCAAGUAAUAGCGCGCAUGAUCCACAUUGCAUUUGCACCUGAAGCUUGUUUCACCUUUGAUUUGCAGAUUGGCACGGCAAUCAGAUUCAGAUUUGGGCACUGCAUUGCAAUGCAGCUCUCCUGGAGACUAACCUGGGCAUUUACAACCGAAGGAAGGAAUGCACAGACGCAUCACCUUCUUCCAUCCUUGUGACAGUGGAGAAAGGAGAACGGCGGCUACGAUGCCGCCGGCUCAAACUCGCCGCCGUUAGCACCCGCCAUUGCGGCCGUGCCUAAUUCCGUCUCCUUGAUGAAACGGCCCUGCAGUGCGGCAAAGGAUUUUAAGUUGAGGGAAGCAAGGAGCAGACAUGAAGACUGAGACUGGUAAUGACACCAGAACAGGAUUCAGUAACGAAAUGUAGUAGCUCAUGUGUGUGCAGGAUUACUGGUCUGCAAGAACUGUAUUGAAUCAAUGGCAAAUGAGAGAAUUUGAGAUUAAUGUUUACAUGCUUCUGUCCAUGAGUUCUGAAUUCAGUAUGCUCAAUGUGUUCCUGGGCCCAGAAGAAUUUAUAGCCACUUAUGAUUUAUCACAGGUUUGGGCGCUAAUGAAUUCCUUGGCGUGCAGGAUCUAAUCCUUUUUCCAUUCAAGUGAACUAGCAUUUCAGAAUCAGACCAUUGCGGAUCUAAUUAACACCCUAAAAUGCAGGAUUAAAGGCACAUGAACGAACGAAGCAGCAGCUAGCAACAGCUUCAGACAUUGGAUGGAGGGUGAUUGAUUGAUUGAUUGGAGUACCUUGAAGCGCGGCCGCCGGACGGCAUUGAUCCGGCGAACCUCGUAGCGGAUCCGCUUGGAGAAUAGCCGCGCCUGCCGCUUCUCCUUGUACCGCCGCACCCUCUCGGCCCUCCCCCGCGCCGCCGCCGCCCUCUCCGUCUCCGGCGCGCUCCACGCCGACGGCGCCACCUCGACGAACACCUGCACAGCCAUCCCCAGAGUCACGGCUGCUCGCCUCCGGGAAGAACAUCUACGGCCCAGAAGAGAAGACCAAACAGGGGGAUGGGGUUUUCUUCGAUUAGCCUUGAUUACCGAAUCGAGCAGCUCGGGCUCGAGCUUCGGCGCGGCGGCGGCGGCGGUGUAGAGCGACCCCCGGCCGUUCCAGGCGGACAGGAUCCCGUCGUAGUCGAGCUUCAGCCGCGGCGGCGGCGAAGAAGAAGAAGACCAGGCGGCGGCACCCGUACUGGCGGCCGAGGAGCACGAGGACGACGUCGUGGUGGUCGGCGGGGAGGAAGAAGAGGAGGUGCUCCUGCUGCAGUACACCCACCGCUCCCUCCCCCGGAGCGCGCGCCGCGCCAGGUUCUCUGCCUCCUCCUCCUCGCCCUCGAACCCUCCGGAGGCGGCGUCCGGUGAGGGCGCACACGACGGCGGCGAGCCCCCUCCUCCGCCAGAGGAAGGGGAGGCGGCGCCGAGGAUGUCGGUGAGCGACGGCGCCGCCGCGAACAGCGUGGCCUCCGGAUGCAGCGCGAACGGCUCCAUCUGCUGCUCCUCCCCGCCACCGUCCCCCUCUUCCUCCGCCGCCACCGGCGAAACCGAAGGGGAAAACUCCAACAACAACGGCGACGCCAUAGAUUCGGUCGAGCCGUCCUCCUCCUUCACCUCCUUCACCCCCAUGGCAUUGAGGUGGCGGCUCAGGCUGAGGUACUUGGUCUUCCGCUUCGCCUUACCCCGCCGCCGCCGCCAGCCGCCGCUCGCCAUGGCUCUCUCCUCGAACACCGCGAAGUGGGGGAAGGAAAGGGCGAGAAGCUUCGGGUAUUUGGAGGGAAAGCAAGAGGAUCUCCCGCGAAAAGGAGGCGCUAAUAAGCCUUUUGUCAAACAAACAAAAAAGGAGGCGCUUUUCCCUUGAUCCUGCGCUGACGUGGCAGGGGCUCCUGCUGACAUGGCGAGACGUCAUUGGGUGGCCGGAUUGCGGUGUCGACCUUUUCGUGUGGGGUCGUUGCUUAGAUCACGGGGUGUUUGUGAGAUGAGGUGGGCUUUCACAUCAACGCCGUUGCAACGUUCAAUAUGCUCCUCCCUGAAAUUAAUCCACCUAUUUUUUUAGUUAAUCUUUGAUCUAAGCUCCUCAAAUAAUCUUAAUUGAAAACAUGUCGAAUCGAGUACGUAAGUGUGGUGUUAUUUCACUCUUUGCUUACGACGAUCAGAGGGAAUAGAGCUGACUCUCGGUGACAAGUAAAAGAAAAACACGGGAAUAUUGGGGUUUUCUUUUUUGCCUUAAAAGCAAAGGGAUCAUGAUCGUGCAUCACAUCACAACACGCGCUACGAAAAAGAGACAUGCGAGGAAGAAAGUUCAUUGCUCAGUUAGCAAGGAAAACCGAUGUCCUUGAACUUAGAUGGAUGGUCGUGGAAGAUUUCAGACCGACAAUUAGAGUGUACCGAGGGACGAGGGAUGGGGCAAAACGAUAGGACACGUCCUUGAACUUGGCCGACGAUAAAAGUGUGGUGAGGUAUAAAGGUAGGGCUUGUGAUCACAACGAGAAAACCUAACGUCCUUGAACUCAGAGCAAUGGUCACAGAAGUCGGAAGGUGCUAGCCUAACGGUCAAAGUGUAUGAAACAAGUUGGACGAUAAGGUCUAGUAGCAACCUAUUCUCAAUAACAAAGCAUGAUGAGGCGUUGAGCAUGGGUAUAUGCACAAAGAGAUUACCCGAAAUAGGUUAAUAUAAAACAAAGGCCGCACUAUGUCCUAAAACCAACCACAAGAACUAAAGCUAGCUCUUCGACUGACAUGGAUCCAUAUACUCAUAUGUCAAACUUCUUAAAUUUUGACCAUGUUUAUUGAAAAUGUAUCAAUAUAUAUGACUCUAAAUUACUUUUAUUAGAUCCAAAUUAUAUAAAUUUUCAUACUCCCUCCGUCCAACAAAAGAUGGAUGUACCUGACUUAGUGUAUUGAUUCAUUCAAAUUUAGUCAAAGUUGAAAACAAGGAAGUAAAUACUUAUUUGAUACUCUAGAUAUUGACACAUUCAUUUAUAGAUCAAAUUAAACCUUAAUAAAUUUGACUUGACACAAAGUUCAAACUAUUUAUAUUUAAGAAGAAAGGUUGUCAUUUGUUAGCAUUGACUUUCCCAGAGAGACUCUUCCCAGGAAAGAAAACAUAACAGUUUUUUUUUCUUUGCCAAAUGCUAUAGACUCUUCAGGACAAGGACAACAAGUAAAGAAAUGCCACAUGCAUCCUAACGCUAACAGCCAGGCGAUUACACGACUGUUGCAUUUACCCAUUUACCCUCUCACCGUUUGAGUCGUCCAGCUAGUCACGGGUAGCGUAGCAGCCUAGCAUUGGCUCUGCUCAGUGGCUCUGACCGACUGACUGACACGGGCGACGCGUGCAACGAGAACGCAAUGCGGUGAGGGCAAUGCCUUUGACCCUGACCACUCCUGUGACUUGAUUUAAUUUAAUUUAAUUUUGACAUAUUGUUUUCGUCCAAUAAAAGAUUUCUUAAUUUUGAUUAAAUUUGAAUGCAUCUAUACAAUAAAUCAUAUCUAGACACGUUGGAAGAAGUAAUUUAAUCCGGCGACCUGCCUUUCUUUUUCUUUAGUGCCUUGGGAGGCUGUGAUGCUCCUUUCACUCCUUCUGCCCUGGUGCAGUCUAGAAAGAAGAUUAAUUCAUGACUCUAUUAAAAGAAGAUCAUACCCAGUGACACGUGUGCGGUUUAUCUUGUUAUAAUCAUUUUUUAUAUGUAUUAUUCAACAGGAGUUGAGAUACAAGUCUACCUAUUCACGUGUGUCGUAAGAUUUCGAAAACACAACGAUAGAAAAACAUGGAAAAAAAUAGUAAUUAAAUGUCAAAUCAUGUUGAACUCUAUAGGAAUCUAAAACACAUGACUAGGCAAUAAAACUGUUUGAUUGCACCACGGGAAAAAAACAAAGUAAAUUAUUUGAAGGCUUUGAUGCUAGCAUAAUUGUGAUAGAAACAAAGAAAAUUGUCUACGAGGUUGGACCUCUUGGACAUUUUUCUUUGAAACUGUAUGCAAAGUUGUCCAUAGGGAAAAAAAAUGAUUUCAAAUCCUCCAAAUCAAACGAGUUGUAUACGAAAAAAUCGUUAGGAAUAUAAUCCUCUAAGAGUCCACUAAGAACUCUAGACGAUCAUUCUUCAGUUUAUAAAUUUAUUCAUGGAGCCUGGUUGUUUGUAUUAAAGGGCUAGCUUCUUAAACAUGCAUUAGUUAACAACAAUUUCACACUACCACCCACAUAUUAUUGCCUCAAUACCGAUUCAUUUUUGAACGUCACUUGAUGCGACGAUGGUGACAACAUUUUAUACAUCUCUUUCCACCAUCGAAAGCACCCGUGUGAGUUCCACUAGUCGACAGAUGAAACCUUCCCCCUUGCCUCGGCAAAAAAUGUUGAUCUCCCUAUCUCUUAUCUCUCCCGGCUCGCCAAACCCUCUAAGCUCGCCAGCCGGCGCUCACCUCUCUCAUCUCGCCAUCAACAUGUUAACCUUUUGAGUCUCAAUAUGAUAGUAUUUAGCCAAAACCAUUACCGCCAUGCCCAUAGUCUUGGAUUGCUAGAUUCAAUUUAUCUCCAUUCGUCGUGAUGCUAUGGCACCUUCGAAGAAUCCUUUGAUCUAGAGACCACAAAUCGAGAGUCCACAAAAUAAAGUGCAUUGUCUUGUCUUCUUGGUCCUGUAUCACAUCGUGUUCUAGAAAUGAUAAGGACCAUUCAUUAUCCUCCACUAAAUCAUUCAUCCUACAGAAAAUGACAUCGAAUGAUUAUAAGUUUUAGCCGACACUAUGAACCGUUGGGUGAAGAUCCGAAGGACAUGAUCAUUGCUCUCAGACCAUACAUAGAACACUUCCCUUCAUCCUUCGUGCCAUGGCCACCACCCACCACACCCCUGUCAUCCUCAUCUUCACCAACCCUAUUUCUAUUUCACCACAUUGCUUUCAUCUCUCAUCGCUGCCGGCAAAUCGAUCUACCAUAUUUCAAUGCCUUGCAAUCUCUCGAUUAACCGAAGGGCUGAUCUCGAUCAACCAUGAUUUCGCUAGCUCCAAGCAGGGCGACGCGUGAACAAUGUGGCUUAUACUCUCUUUCUAAGCCUAACUAACCUAGAACAGCAAGACUGUUCUAGAAAAAGCUUAUGAUAAUCGAACUAAACUUAUAGUACAAACAGUUGUUAUAGAAUCAUCACAGGAUGUUUUCAUCAGAAUCCGAAACUUGCAGAAUUCGGACAAAACGAAAGCUGUACUGCAUUUUGAUGAAAGGGCACGACAAGAUUAGAGAAAGAAAGAGGCACACCACCAUCCACGCUACUCAUCACCAACCCCUCAAAACCCUUACUUAAUUAACAGACGGACGUGCGCCGCGAACGGAUUAGUUGGAGCGCAUCUUCUCGAGCUGGUUGAGGGCCGGCUGGAGGAUGUUGAAGAGCACCCACCCGAGGGCGGGGGCCACCACGAAGAGCAGCAGCAGGCCCCGGUUGUCGUCCGCCGGCGCCGCCGCGGCCGCCAUGGCCGCGAUCUCCCCCGCGGCGGCCGAGGCCCGCUCCGGCGCGGCAGCGGCCAUGGCGGCCCCGAGCCCGAGCCCGGCCACGAGCGCCUUCUCCGACCGCAUCUUGUUGAGCUGGUUCAGCGCCGGCUGCAGGAUGUUGUAGAGCACCCAGGCGAGCGCCGGGGAGACGACGAUCAGGAGGAGCAGGCCCCGGUUGUCGUCCGCCGGCGCAGCCGCCGCCAUGUCCGCCACCCGCUGCGCCGCCAUCGCCGCGUCGGAGGUCGCCAGCGAGCUGAAGAAGGCGCCCGCCAUGGCCGCGGAAGCCGCCGGCGACACGGCCAGAGCGGCGCCCUGUUUCUUGGCUGCUACUUUCCGCAGCGAGAUGCUCGGGGAUGAUGACGGCGGCGAUGGAGCCGCCGGCGCCGAUCUCGCCGUGAUCUUCGCCGGCUUGAGCAUGGCCAUCGUGGCUAUGGUCGCCAUUGAUCUGCGUCUAGAGCUCGCUAGCUUUCCACUUCUCGCUCCCAAGAACUCUUCUGGCAAAUGAGGCGUGAGGUUGUUUGUGUCCUGGGUGUGAUGCCAAUGCUCCUGCUGCGUUUCUAGAAUGGGGACUUAUCUGGUGCGCCCAGUGUGUGCUCCAGAUUUGAAAGCUUAUCUCCCGGCUUGCGCAAGCUGCGAUUCCAUUGGUUGGGAGCUACAUAGUGGGUCCUCCAUACGAUUUACAUGGAGACUUUGGAAGAGAAUGUAAUGGGUGAAAUUGUUUGGAAAGAUCUUGUAAUGGCUCUAGAAUGGGAAUAUCCUUACGGUGUAUCAAAUGGUGAAUAGGUUGUUUGGACAUUGUGAUGGCUCUAGAAUGUACUCAUAUCUUUAUCUUUAUAUGGUGUAUCAAAUGUCAAAAUCCAUCGUUAAGGUUAUAGUGGCCAAACAAGACAAGUGAAUCGAAUUAACCCAACCGCUCCUCUCACCAAAAGAAGAAGUGGCUUAUUCUUCGGUUCACUAUAUUCGUCGUCACCCGUCAAUUUUAUUAUACUGGCAUCAAUAUUGUUUUAGAGUACUAAUAAUUAGCAAAAUCCUAUCAAUAAGAAAAGAGAUCCAAAACAUCGACGAAAGAAACCGAGGAAAUGAACAAGGUAUACAUGUAACAUCCAAAACAAUGGUACAGUUCAUGAAUUGCUUCAUGCACAAUAUGAAUGGUGAACAACCAGAUUAGAUACAGCAAGGAAAAUGAAAUACGGUAGCAAAUUAUUCACUCCCUAAAACAGAAUCGCACAAGGGGAAUAUCCUGCGUUCCAUCCGUUUAUUCGUCAGGGUAGAUAGAAGAGAACCAUGGAGCGAAAGACAAAACAAAUGGCAGCCUGAUUACAACUUUCAACAUCUCCCGCUCCCGAGGGAGAGAAACCUGCUCCUCCACCCGCUCGAUCAGGCUCCGAGUUGCAGCUUCUUGAUCGUAUCGAUCUGCUUCGCUGGGUUCAGGCCCUUAGGGCAGGCAUGUGUGCAGUUCUUGAUGGUGUGGCAGCGGUAGAGCUUAAACUCGUCGUUGAUGGAGUCAAGGCGCUCCUUUGUGUACUGGUCACGGCUGUCCUGGAUCCACCUGGAAGGAGGAAUGAACACAGUAUUGCAAGCAUAUUAUGUGUCUGGGAUUUUGCAGUCUUGAAACACUCCAUCACGGUAAAAGCAUCUAACGACUCACCAACUGAUACAACCAUGCCUUUUAUUUCCAGAAAGCCAGUAACAACUAGAAGAUUUCAGUUUCUUAUGACUAAGGGUACAUGAUAUUCUUUAGUCAAAAGAUAAUAAUAUCUGAACUUCAGAUAGAUUCUAUCAGGUCAUAUUUUAGAUUUGAAGUCAAGACAUGCACAUUAAUUCAUUUUGAGUUGCUGCAACUAUGGUGGUACCCAAGUCACAACUCAUAAGCUUAAUUACAAUAUAUAAGAUCACCAGACUGGAAUUAAAACACAGUGCACAGCACAAUAAAACAUCAAAUAAAGCGCAUAAUAAGAGCCAACUUGUAGAAUCCUUGAACAAUCAGGAUCUUUAGUUUCACAAAUGCUGAAUCGCAUGAAAGACAGUACAUCAUUACACUGGUUCAAUUAGGUAAAGAAAGAUGCAAACAUCGGUUGCUGGCAAAAACAACUUGACAGAUAGCCGCAGGGAUCACUGAAAGACUGCAGAGGCAACCUUAUUUGACUGGACUACUGCAGAGCUACUGCUUUGUCCUACUGGUCUGUUAAAAACUACCAAGAUGCUUUCUUAACACCCAUGACUUCGCCCUUAUUUGCCAAUGUGCGGAACACGAUACGAGACAUGCGGAAUUUCUUGUAGACACCGCGAGAGCGUCCAGUGAAAAUACAGCGGUUUCUAAGACGUGUCAUGUUACUAUUUCUUGGCAGCUUGGACAGCUUAUAGCGAAACUUAUCGCGCAUUUCCAAUGGAAGAUCAGGGUCCCUACAGACAGACUUAUAAAGCUUUCCUCUCAGCUCAUAUUUUGCUGCAAGCAAUCUACGUUUGUGAUCCCUCAUGUUUCUGUUCUCUGAUACCCCAUGAUAGCCUCGAGCUUGGACGUGCAUGAACAUGCUGGGUUUUGGUUUGAUUAGCGUCCCCCACAGCGGAAGCCUAAAAAGGGUGAACGGGGAACGUGUCAUGGACUUAGCAACAUCCUAAAGCUUAGAGCAAAAAGAAAUGAACAUAUUAGACAACUAUUAUUGAAGGAAAGGGCACCCAAAAACUUUAGCACUAUAAGUUUGGUAGGUCAGCAACCAUAGUUUGCUGGCACAGUAGAAACUAUCGGGCUCUUUCACUAACAUAAAACUGACUUCCAAAUCAAGAAGGCAUCAAGAAUCAAACUACUAAGGAACACCUUGGCCAAACUAAAACCUGCGGUGCCAUCAGGAAUCAGACUACGGAACAGAUUUAAGUAAGACUCGCAAUGUAAUCUACAAUCAGACUAAGGAACAAAUUUACCCUAACUAAAACUCUCGAUGUGAUCCAGAAUGAAACUACUAAACGGCAGACUCAUGUGAAUAUUUCCUACACUCACAAAAACUUUCCAAAUACAGAAGUCAAACACCUGAAGAACAAUACAAAGAGUCCCGAAUUCCCUAAGAAUGUCUAGGCAAAAUGGAUAUUUCAUAGUAACCACCUAAUGAUCAUCUGAACUGCUUUGCUGUGGAGCUACCGGAAAAGGAAAAAAAAUCCAUCCCCACAUCAGGCAAAUGAACAAUUCAACACUACAUCAGAUUAAUGAACAAUUCAACACCAUACCGAUAGGACAAUUCUCCUAAGCGAAACAUUUCCAUGGUUGCAGAACCGAAAUUAACAACUUGGCCAAACUAAGACCUGCAGUGUCAUGAGGAAUCAGACGAAAGGAAAUUUACCCAAAGUCCCAAACUAAGACUCGCGGUGUCAUGUAGAAUGAAACUUCGAAAUGAUCGACUCAUAGGAAAUAUUUUCUACACUAACAUCAACUUCCAAAUAGAGAAGUCAAACACAGGAAGAAGAAUAGAAACAGCCAUGUAUGCCCUAAAAAUGUCUAGGCAAAUGGACAUUUCAUAGUAACCACCUAAUGAUCAUCUGAACUGCUUGCUUUGGAUCUACCGGAAAAGGACAAACAAUCCACGCCCACAUCAGACUGAUGAACAAUUCAUCACUACAUCAGGCUAAUGAACAGUUCACCACCGCAUCGAAUCGAACAGUUCUCCUAAACGACACACUUCCACGGUUGGACAACCGAAACGAACAAAACCAAGCUACACAUCAUCCCACAACCAUUUCGCAACAAACACGGCACAUCACACCAGCCGAUCAGUCAUAAAUCAUUCAGUCAUCAAACAGAUCUAGCACACAGAAUCAGCAUACUUGACAUAUUAUCACAAUUCACAAAUAUGAAGAGCCUACAAGGGAGGCCAAGGUAUACCUGUUGGCAUGGAGCAGCGCAGCCGGGCCGAGAUACUCCUCAGGGUUCCACCAGUAGGACGGACAGGACGUGGAGCAGCAGGCGCAGAGGAUGCACUCAUACAUGCCGUCGAGCUUGGCGCGGUCGGCCUUGGUCUGCGGGAUCUCCUUCCCCUCGGGGGACGGCGGGUCCUUGCGCUUGAGCCAGGGCUCGACGCUCUUGUACUGGUUGUAGAAGUUGGUCAUGUCGACGACGAGGUCCUUGACGACGAACAUGUGGGGCAGCGGCGAGAUCGUGGAGGCGCCCUUGGACUCGGAGGAGAUCUUGGUGAGGCAGGCGAGCCCGUUGUCGCCGUCGAUGUUCAUGGCGCAGCUGCCGCAGAUGCCCUCGCGGCAGCUGCGGCGGAAGGUGAGCGACGGGUCCUGCUCGUUCUUGAUCUUGAGCAGCGCGUCGAGGACCAUGGGCCCGCAGUCGGAGAGGUCCACCUUGUAGUCCUUGAGGUGCGGCUUCGUCGACGGCGAGUCCGGGUCCCAGCGGUAGAUCGAGAAGGUCUUGGUGCUCGCGGACGGCGGGGGAGGGGCGGGGGAAGAGGAGUGGGGCUUGGAGGCGACGAGGCGGGAGGAGAGCGGCGCCGG
RNAcentral lists this long non-coding RNA (16779 nucleotides) under Brachypodium distachyon (stiff brome). Its description in RNAcentral is "long non-coding RNA (BDIS_LNC003048)". The record is from RNAcentral. Lineage: Eukaryota; Viridiplantae; Streptophyta; Magnoliopsida; Poales; Poaceae.